RNAcentral lists this ribosomal RNA (459 nucleotides) under uncultured bacterium. RNAcentral's name for it is "partial 16S ribosomal RNA". It matches the Rfam family "Bacterial small subunit ribosomal RNA", at positions 338 to 795 of the family's 1533-position model. The record is from RNAcentral.
CCUACGGGAGGCAGCAGUGAGGAAUAUUGGUCAAUGGGCGAGAGCCUGAACCAGCCAAGUCGCGUGAAGGAUGACGGCCCUACGGGUUGUAAACUUUUUUUGCCAGGGAGCAAUUGGGUCCACGCGUGGGCUUAGCGAGAGUACCUGAAGAAAAAGCAUCGGCUAACUCCGUGCCAGCAGCCGCGGUAAUACGGAGGAUGCGAGCGUUAUCCGGACGUAUUGGGUUUAAAGGGUGCGUAGGCGGAGUAUCAAGUCAGGGGUAAAAAUUCGGGGCACAACCCCGUCGUGCCGUUGUAACUGAUGUUCUUGAGUGGGCGAGAAGGAUGCGGAAUGCGGGGUGUAGCGGUGAAAUGGAUAGAUAUCACGCAGAACUCCGAUUGCGAAGGCAGCAUACGGGCGCCGACUGACGCUGAAGCACGAAAGCGUGGGUAUCGAACAGGAUUAGAUACCCUUGUAGUC